CAUAAAAAACAAAACUUCUCUCCUCACUUGCUGUUCUAUUCCACAGUUUGAACUGGUCUUCAUCAUUUCCUCACUUUUCACAGGAAAGGCUAACAAAAUCAGUUGAUAGUUGAUAUCUGAGAGAGAUUUCGAUGGUGUUUCCAGUAGUCGACGCCGAGUACCUUAAGCAGAUCGACAAAGCUUGUCGUGGCCUUCGCGCUUUCAUCGCCUCAUGUUUCGCUUAGCGUGGCACGACGCAGGGACGUACGACGUCAGCACCAAGACCGGUGGACCCAAUGGCUCCAUAAGGAAUGAAGAAGAGUACUCUCAUGGCUCCAAUAACGGCUAGAAAAUCGCUAUUGAUUUUUGCUAUGGCUAUGGCUUCCAGUUCAUUCAUGUUUUGAUAGAGAGAUUUCAUUAUCUGGAAUGCUGAAAUAGUUGUUAAUAUUUCACUCACUAGAAAGGGUUUUUUCCUUGUUUUAAAGAAUCUUAUAAGGUGGAAGCAGGAGUGGCAAGUAUGUCGGUGAGAGGUGUUGACAUAGAGGAAGUGAAGGUUAAACAUCCCAAGAUCACGUAUGCAGACCUAUACCAGCUUGCUGGAGCUGUUGCUGUUGAAGUCACUGGAGAUCCCACAAUUGACUUUGUACUAGGAAGAAAGGAUUCGAACAUUUGUCCCAAGGAAGGCCCACUUCCAAAUGCUAAAAAAGGUGCACCUCAUCUGAGGGACAUCUUCUAUCAAAUGGGUCUAUCUGACAAUGAUAUUGUGGCAUUAUCUGGGGGUCACACUCUGGGAAGGGCUCAUCCAGAGAGAUCUGGUUUUGAUGGCCCUUGGACCAAUGAACCACUGAAGUUCAAUAACUCUUAUUUAUCGGAGCUGCUCAAAGGGGAAUCAGAAGGGCUAUUAAAGCUUCCAACAGACAAGGCUUUGUUGGAUGACCCUGAGUUCAGCCAGUAUGUAUGUAGAGCAAUAUGCAAAGGUAAUACUACAACUGAGUGGUUGCCAUUUGUAUUACCUGUACAAAUUUUAUGAGGCCACUUUGAGACAUUUAUGGAAUGCUUGUGUGCAGAUUUAUCUUGUCACUCUGCAAUGUUGCUGAAUUUAUAAUGUAAUUGCCUGUGUAUUUAAUACGAUUUUAUGUCUGGUUUUUCGUAGACCUUGUUCUUGGUAGAUCAUGAUGUUACUUUUACUGUUUCUGUUUGGGCCACUUGUGCACUGGUGGAAGUGUCAGAAUCUUACCUAGAGCCUACCUGAAAACCUACUUGAAAUAACUAGAUUGAGGUUGAACCAAUAUUUGAGCAGGUAAUUAUUUGUCCUCAUCUAACUGAAUUCAACCUUGCUUCAAGGAGGGUUGUGCUAUUUUAAAGACCUUUUACUUACCAACCUGAACCCGCCCGUGCUUCUUUUAAAUUAGUAAUUUGUUGGGUCUAUAUGAUGUUUCUGUGUGAUCCUAGUCUAAUGUUAGCCAAACUUGGUCAAACACUGGCUAAUGCCUUGCAGGAAUCAUCUCUUUAGGUGAUAUAGACCAAUCUUGGACUGAGACAUUAUGCAAAUAAAUAUCUAUUCUGCUAUGAUUCCUGGACUAGCAAAUACCUAAGUCUAAGGAUGAGGCUGCAUUCUUCAGAGAUUAUGCAGAAUCACAUAAGAAACUUUCAGAACUAGGGUUUACUCCCAGCUUCUCUCUCUCCAAGGUAAUUGUAAAUGACAGCACCAUAUUGGCACAGGGUGCUGUUGGGGUUGCAGUUGCCGCUGCUGUGGUGAUAUUAAGCUACUUUUAUGAGGUCCGCAAACGAAUGAAAUGAAGCUAGAUUACUAUGUCUUUUUACAAUAAAACAUGCAUUAUUCCCUUAUCAAUUAGCAGAACUUGGACCGAUCAUCUGGCUACCCAUGCAAUUGUUUUCUGACCAUGACAUCCCCUCCUACAGGCCGUGUUCAUUGCCAAUCUAGACAUAUUGGUAAUAUUAGUAAAUGAUGAAAAUACAUUCUCCCAUUUUGAACAGUAUUAAACAAGCGUAGGGACAAUGCCCCAGAACCACUUCAAUGCAUGACAUUUCCGUUACAAAGUACAAUUAAGUUGGAGGUUGCUCUGUUUUCAUGUUUUUUUGUUAAUGGCGUUGGUUUUCAACUCUAAUUGAGCCACCUCGUUGAAGCAGGGAGGGACCAAUCACUAAAACAAGAUCUCAACCAGAUAUGCGCUCUGCCCCAGGGAUACUGGUCAUACUGCAAGUCUGCAACCAAAA
This is a non-coding RNA of Durio zibethinus, 2217 nucleotides long. The record is from RefSeq and is a predicted model, not a curated record. Lineage: Eukaryota; Viridiplantae; Streptophyta; Magnoliopsida; Malvales; Malvaceae.